This 225-nucleotide small nucleolar RNA is filed under the name Triticum aestivum (bread wheat). Its description in RNAcentral is "Plant small nucleolar RNA U3". It matches the Rfam family "Plant small nucleolar RNA U3". Rfam says of the family: Small nucleolar RNAs (snoRNAs) are involved in the processing and modification of rRNA in the nucleolus. There are two main classes of snoRNAs: the box C/D class, and the box H/ACA class. Lineage: Eukaryota; Viridiplantae; Streptophyta; Magnoliopsida; Poales; Poaceae. The record is from Rfam by way of RNAcentral.
AUGACCUUACUUGAACAGGAUCUGUUCUAUAGGCUCGUACCGCUGCAUCCUUUACCAAUAAGGAGGCAAGCACUCAUGUCCGGUUGAUGCAUUCUAACCUCUGGGCCAGAGCGUGAUUAACGGCCUGGAUACACCUGAUGGGUGCCAUCCGACGGCUGUAGAGGAUCGUUCCCUGCCUAAAUUCACACUCUGGUGCAGGGUGGCUCAGAGGUUGUCUGACAGACU